CCUACGGGAGGCAGCAGUAGGGAAUCUUCCACAAUGGGCGCAAGCCUGAUGGAGCAACACCGCGUGAGUGAAGAAGGGUUUCGGCUCGUAAAGCUCUGUUGUUGGAGAAGAACGUGCGUGAGAGUAACUGUUCACGCAGUGACGGUAUCCAACCAGAAAGUCACGGCUAACUACGUGCCAGCAGCCGCGGUAAUACGUAGGUGGGAAGCGUUAUCCGGGUUUAUUGGGCGUAAAGCGAGAGCAGGCGGUUGCUUAGGUCUGAUGUGAAAGCCUUCGGCUUAACCGAAGAAGUGCAUCGGAAACCGGGCAACUUGAGUGCAGAAGAGGACAGUGGAACUCCAUGUGUAGCGGUGGAAUGCGUAGAUAUAUGGAAGAACACCAGUGGCGAAGGCGGCUGUCUGGUCUGCAACUGACGCUGAGGCUCGAAAGCAUGGGUAGCGAACAGGAUUAGAUACCCGAGUAGUC
Molecule: ribosomal RNA, 465 nt
Filed under: uncultured bacterium
Lineage: Bacteria
Description: partial 16S ribosomal RNA
Rfam family: Bacterial small subunit ribosomal RNA
Source: RNAcentral